RNAcentral lists this ribosomal RNA (1538 nucleotides) under Klebsiella pneumoniae. Its description in RNAcentral is "bacterial SSU rRNA". It matches the Rfam family "Bacterial small subunit ribosomal RNA". The record is from RNAcentral. Lineage: Bacteria; Pseudomonadati; Pseudomonadota; Gammaproteobacteria; Enterobacterales; Enterobacteriaceae.
AAAUUGAAGAGUUUGAUCAUGGCUCAGAUUGAACGCUGGCGGCAGGCCUAACACAUGCAAGUCGAGCGGUAGCACAGAGAGCUUGCUCUCGGGUGACGAGCGGCGGACGGGUGAGUAAUGUCUGGGAAACUGCCUGAUGGAGGGGGAUAACUACUGGAAACGGUAGCUAAUACCGCAUAACGUCGCAAGACCAAAGUGGGGGACCUUCGGGCCUCAUGCCAUCAGAUGUGCCCAGAUGGGAUUAGCUAGUAGGUGGGGUAACGGCUCACCUAGGCGACGAUCCCUAGCUGGUCUGAGAGGAUGACCAGCCACACUGGAACUGAGACACGGUCCAGACUCCUACGGGAGGCAGCAGUGGGGAAUAUUGCACAAUGGGCGCAAGCCUGAUGCAGCCAUGCCGCGUGUGUGAAGAAGGCCUUCGGGUUGUAAAGCACUUUCAGCGGGGAGGAAGGCGAUAAGGUUAAUAACCUUGGCGAUUGACGUUACCCGCAGAAGAAGCACCGGCUAACUCCGUGCCAGCAGCCGCGGUAAUACGGAGGGUGCAAGCGUUAAUCGGAAUUACUGGGCGUAAAGCGCACGCAGGCGGUCUGUCAAGUCGGAUGUGAAAUCCCCGGGCUCAACCUGGGAACUGCAUUCGAAACUGGCAGGCUAGAGUCUUGUAGAGGGGGUAGAAUUCCAGGUGUAGCGGUGAAAUGCGUAGAGAUCUGGAGGAAUACCGGUGGCGAAGGCGGCCCCUGGACAAAGACUGACGCUCAGGUGCGAAAGCGUGGGGAGCAAACAGGAUUAGAUACCCUGGUAGUCCACGCCGUAAACGAUGUCGAUUUGGAGGUUGUGCCCUUGAGGCGUGGCUUCCGGAGCUAACGCGUUAAAUCGACCGCCUGGGGAGUACGGCCGCAAGGUUAAAACUCAAAUGAAUUGACGGGGGCCCGCACAAGCGGUGGAGCAUGUGGUUUAAUUCGAUGCAACGCGAAGAACCUUACCUGGUCUUGACAUCCACAGAACUUUCCAGAGAUGGAUUGGUGCCUUCGGGAACUGUGAGACAGGUGCUGCAUGGCUGUCGUCAGCUCGUGUUGUGAAAUGUUGGGUUAAGUCCCGCAACGAGCGCAACCCUUAUCCUUUGUUGCCAGCGGUUAGGCCGGGAACUCAAAGGAGACUGCCAGUGAUAAACUGGAGGAAGGUGGGGAUGACGUCAAGUCAUCAUGGCCCUUACGACCAGGGCUACACACGUGCUACAAUGGCAUAUACAAAGAGAAGCGACCUCGCGAGAGCAAGCGGACCUCAUAAAGUAUGUCGUAGUCCGGAUUGGAGUCUGCAACUCGACUCCAUGAAGUCGGAAUCGCUAGUAAUCGUAGAUCAGAAUGCUACGGUGAAUACGUUCCCGGGCCUUGUACACACCGCCCGUCACACCAUGGGAGUGGGUUGCAAAAGAAGUAGGUAGCUUAACCUUCGGGAGGGCGCUUACCACUUUGUGAUUCAUGACUGGGGUGAAGUCGUAACAAGGUAACCGUAGGGGAACCUGCGGUUGGAUCACCUCCUUA